AAGUCGAGGUAGGUGGUCCAGAGCUAGAACGAUGGCUCCACAAUCAUCAAGGCAUCCUCAGGGUAUAGUACCUGCUGUGGUUAAAGGCUCUUUCUCUUCAGAGUGAAAUACGGAUGGAGAUAAGACAGUCAUUGAAAAAUUAUGAGCAACAGGGAAGCUCUCUCUGCGGGGUAAAAGUGGGUUGAGGGACUUGAAGAAACCUUGUCGGGUUGUUUUCAGGUUAGGCGCUGGGUCUGGCUUGAUCAGUAGGUCUGAUUCAGGUGAAGGGCUGGUUUCUAGGCGUGGGGAACUCGGCCUCCCCCUUACUGUGAAACUUCGGGCAAACCACUUCCCCUUUCUGGAUUUUAUCUCCUUCCCCUGUUAACCAGGAGGUUGGACAUAUUUGAACUUUAAUAACAGAGCUCUUUGAACUCUCCUAUAAAACCCUAGUGUAUACAUUAGAUUAAAGCUCCACAAUCAUCCAGACCCCUGCUCUUUCCCUCAUGUUGCUCUGCAGUGCUCAACACUUGACUUCCACCUUGUGACCCAAGACUGCAGCUCCAGCUCCUGCCCUCAAGUCUGCAUUCCAUCCAGCAGGAAGGAGGAAAGGGGGAGAGCCUACUGUUUUCUUUCAGGGACAGAAGUUGCCCAAAUCACUUCUUUUCACAUCCUAUAAUUUGGUCAUAUGGCUGCACCUAGCUGCAAGAAAUCUCUUCAGCUGAAAAGUCUUGCGACCAGCUAAAAAUUGUAUCACUAGUAAAAGAAGAGAACAGAUAAAGGGGGCAAAUAGAAGUCUCUUCUCCAAGGUCUGUCUGCUUCUUAAGCUUGAGAAACACUUAUUCCUACCAUUCUUUCCAGGUCCUGGCUACUGCUUUUUGGACUAUACUUUGCAAUUAUACCAUCAUUUGAGGGAUAAACUGGACUCUGCCCUGGUGAUUUGGAUAUUCUGAAAGGAGCACAAGCUUUGAAAUCAGACGUAGCUGGCUUUGAAUCCUCGUUCUGCUUCUUACUAUCCAUGUGGCCUGUGUGAGACAUUUCAUCUGUUGGCUUUAGUUUUCUCACAUUUAAAACAAAGUACUUGUUAAGAACAGAGGAAGAAAGAAGGCCUGAAAGCAAGGAAGAACAAAAGAAGGAAUAGAAAGAGGAAGGAAGAAAGGAAAAAGGUGGGAAACUAACCAUUAUUGAGCACUAUAAGUAACAGUUUUAAUUAAAUGCUGUUUCAUUUCCUCUUGAUAACACACAUGUGAAAUAAAUGUUAUUAUCGCGUCUUUUGAAGAAUGAAAUUGAGGCUCAGGAGGUGAAGUCACUUGUCCAAGUUCACACAGUGCAUGGGAAGCAGAAUGAAAAACUGGAACAAGGUCUGAGAAGUGGAAGCAAGUUCUUCUUGAAUCAUGAGUCAGUCACUGGCACAGUCAAUUGUGAGGAUUGAUGAACUGAGUAGAAAGCUAAAGAAUCCUUUUUUUUUUUUGUAAAUUUUUAAAGUUUUAUUUUUAUAGAUUCAGGGGUACAUGUAUAGGUUUGUUAUGUGGAUAUACUGUGUAGUGGUAGGGUUUGGGCUUUUAGUGUGCCUAUCACCC
Molecule: non-coding RNA, 1556 nt
Organism: Macaca mulatta (Rhesus monkey)
Lineage: Eukaryota; Metazoa; Chordata; Mammalia; Primates; Cercopithecidae
Source: RefSeq, a predicted model, not a curated record